This 468-nucleotide ribosomal RNA is filed under the name uncultured bacterium. RNAcentral describes it as "partial 16S ribosomal RNA". It matches the Rfam family "Bacterial small subunit ribosomal RNA", at positions 28 to 507 of the family's 1533-position model. The record is from RNAcentral.
GACGAACGCUGGCGGCGUGCUUAACACAUGCAAGUCGAACGGAAAGGCCCUGCUUUUGUGGGGUGCUCGAGUGGCGAACGGGUGAGUAACACGUGAGUAACCUGCCCUUGACUUUGGGAUAACUUCAGGAAACUGGGGCUAAUACCGGAUAGGAGCUCCUGCUGCAUGGUGGGGGUUGGAAAGUUUCGGCGGUUGGGGAUGGACUCGCGGCUUAUCAGCUUGUUGGUGGGGUAGUGGCUUACCAAGGCUUUGACGGGUAGCCGGCCCGAGAGGGUGACCGGCCACAUUGGGACUGAGAUACGGCCCAGACUCCUACGGGAGGGAGCGGUGGGGAAUGUUGGACAACGGGCGGAGGCCUGAUGCAGCAACGCCGCGUGGGGGGAAGCGGCCUUCGGGUUGUAAACCGCUUUCGCCUGGGACGGAACGUGAGUGACGGUAAUGGGUAAAAAAGCACCGGCUAACUACGUG